This 270-nucleotide ribosomal RNA is filed under the name uncultured archaeon. RNAcentral describes it as "partial 16S ribosomal RNA". It matches the Rfam family "Archaeal small subunit ribosomal RNA", at positions 477 to 747 of the family's 1478-position model. The record is from RNAcentral.
CUGCAGCCCGAGUGGUGGUCGAUAUUAUUGAGCCUAAAGCGUCCGUAGCCGGACCAGUAAAUUCUUGGGUAAAUCGGGCAGCUUAACUGUCCGACUUCCGAGGAGACUGUUGGUCUUGGGACUGGGAGAGGUCAGAGGUACUCCAGGGGUAGGGGCUAAAUCCUGUAAUCCUUGGGGGACCACCAGUGGCGAAGGCGUCUGACUAGAACGGAUCCGACGGUAAGGGACGAAACCCUGGGGCGCAAACCGGAUUAGAGACCCGAGUAGUCC